Molecule: long non-coding RNA, 584 nt
Organism: Triticum dicoccoides
Lineage: Eukaryota; Viridiplantae; Streptophyta; Magnoliopsida; Poales; Poaceae
Exons: 2
Source: RefSeq, a predicted model, not a curated record
GACGCCCUUAGGUGACAGGCUGACAGCGGUUUUCAUCUAUGGCGUUCCUCUCCCCUGGCCCCUGCUCCGAUUGCGGAGGUGGUGGUAGCGCUGGCGCCGGAGGGAUGACCUGGAGCCGACGGCUAUUCCCCCUCUCGCGCUUGGAGUACCGUGCAAUGAUCCGGCGGAGCAAGAGGCGAUAAUGGGUCGGCUGUCCUCUCUCCGAUGGCCGAUGUCGGAGUAGAAGCAUCAGUGCGCACCACCACUAGCUCUUCCUCGACCCUCCUUGCGACAGCCUUCCGCUGCGGCCACUGCCUCCUCCUGGACCGCGCUUCAGCAACAUGCAGCACCUUCAUUGCCCGUGCUUCAUCUGACACACUGGAGGGUUUGCACCAAGCCUCCAUCACUGUCCCUGACUGCCUAUCUAUAUGUGUUUUCUCUCACUCGAUGUAUUUGUAUCAUAUGAAAUCGAAAUGCAAUGGACUGAUGUAUUGGUAAAUGUAGGAUUGUAGAUGGUAUCUCUGUUUUUUUGUCUGUUUUUGGUUUGGACAGAAGCAUUCUCAUGUUGUGCAAGAGAAGUGGAAGAACUGCAAGUAAGGAAAGGA